AUCUGAUGAUGAGGGAAACUAGCACACAACCGCUUAAAUCUCUCCCACUAUUCAUACAAAGACUCCCCUGUAUAUUGCCUUAUACCGCAAAUCUCUUUCCUUAUGCU
This is a small nucleolar RNA of Humulus lupulus (European hop), 107 nucleotides long. Lineage: Eukaryota; Viridiplantae; Streptophyta; Magnoliopsida; Rosales; Cannabaceae. The record is from RefSeq and is a predicted model, not a curated record.